AAAUAGUGACAUACUGAGCUCCUGUGGAUGGACAACAACCCCAGGAGCUGAAAAAACAAGCUGUGGAACAGAGGUAACUUGUCCCUGAACACAUGAAGAGCUGAAGACAAAGAUGGGAAUGGGACUCAGAUGUCCAGCAUGAGCAGCUUGCGAUGACUGUCUGGGAAGGCACCUUGUGGAAAAAAGUUAUGAAACCCAGGAGGAAGGGAAGAGGCUUGAAAACCUUGCGUCUGAGCAGGGACAAGGAUGUGUCUGUCAGCAAAGGAUAUACAGCAGCCCAGUGCACUGUUAGUGAUGGAACUCUGCAAUACAAUGAUUUGAUGAGGCCAUGAUCUUGGAAAGAUACAAAAAGAGAUGGGCUGUUUCAGGCGAAUCAUGAAGAAAUCCUGAAAUAUAAAGGUACAGUCAAGUCUGGGAUGGGAUUUGCUCUGUAGGGGAGCCCGCUGGAAGCUGCCAGUGCUUGGGAGGAAGUUGCAUGAAAAUCUUGUUACUUGUACCUUGUUAUAUAAUUACCUCUUGCAGAGUGGGUUUUUUUUUCUGAAUUACAGUCACUGUUGGAGACAGGUUAUGUGCUUAGAGAGACCACUGGCUGGAUAGCCUGGUAUUUCCUGCAUUCUUACUUCCACGGAUCCUCUAAUAGCCCUGGUGCCCAGCUUUGUCCUGCUAUUGUGUCUCACUGUGAGGAUGGUCUAUGUCUGAGAUUGUCGGGG
Molecule: long non-coding RNA, 710 nt
Organism: Lepidothrix coronata (blue-crowned manakin)
Lineage: Eukaryota; Metazoa; Chordata; Aves; Passeriformes; Pipridae
Exons: 4
Source: RefSeq, a predicted model, not a curated record